UGACCCGAAAGAUGGUGAACUAUGCCCGAACAGGGUGAAGCCAGGGGAAACCCUGGUGGAAGCCCGAAGCGAUUCUGACGUGCAAAUCGAUCGUCUGAUUUGGGUAUAGGGGCGAAAGACUAAUCGAACCAUCUAGUAGCUGGUUCCCUCCGAAGUUUCCCUCAGGAUAGCUGGAACCCGCCUGUGCAGUUUUAUCAGGUAAAGCGAAUGAUUAGAGGUCUUGGGGUUGAAACAACCUCAACCUAUUCUCAAACUUUAAAUAGGUAAGACGUCCGACUUGCUUGAGUGAAGCCGGACCUCGAAUGCAGGGUUCCUAGUGGGCCAUUUUUGGUAAGCAGAACUGGCGAUGCGGGAUGAACCGAAAGCGGGGUUAAGGUGCCAAAGUCGACGCUCAUCAGACCCCACAAAAGGUGUUGGUUGAUCCAGACAGCAGGACGGUGGCCAUAAAAGUCGGAACCCGCUAAGGAGUGUGUAACAACUCACCUGCCGAAUCAACCAGCCCUGAAAAUGGAUGGCGCUCAAGCGUCGCACCCACACCCCGCCGUCGGGCCGAGCUAGCUGGUCCGAAGUGUAAG
This 575-nucleotide ribosomal RNA is filed under the name Porifera sp. FLK006. RNAcentral's name for it is "partial large subunit ribosomal RNA". It matches the Rfam family "Eukaryotic large subunit ribosomal RNA", at positions 812 to 1385 of the family's 3401-position model. Lineage: Eukaryota; Metazoa; Porifera. The record is from RNAcentral.